Non-coding RNA from Podarcis lilfordi (Lilford's wall lizard), 1206 nucleotides. Lineage: Eukaryota; Metazoa; Chordata; Lepidosauria; Squamata; Lacertidae. The record is from the annotation of a GenBank genome assembly.
GCCGGAGUAAGUAGCACAGCAAAUACCAAAGCAAAUGUUCUAGCGCACAGAUCAUUUGGAAUAACCUUGCAAACUGUGGUGUUAAAAUUCAAGGCACUUAAAAGUUUCCGUUUCAGGCACAUCAAAAUCUCACUCGGCCUGCCUGUUCCUUAGCAGAUUUUGUCACCAAUUCCUUCAGAUCCAGUGCUGAUUCUGUGUGUGCGUGUUCAACAGAUGAAAUGGCCAAGCCGACAAAUCUCUUUAGCAACAAUGUUUUUAGAAGUUUGAGCUUUGAGAAACUUGAGUUCAAAAUACACAAGAAAAGUAAAACGUUGUCUGAAAUUUGUAAGCUGUAACAAAAAACUAACUUGUAACUCAGCACUCCCCAGCCUGGUGCCAUCCAGAUGUUUGGGACUACAACUCCCAUCAGACCCUCUUCUUGGGUCCAUCUCAGCAUCUCUUCCUGGGAUGAGGAACGGAGGAGGGCAAAGAGGUGACCCAAGGAAGGGCUUUCACUGCCCGCUCCUCUUGCCUGCCUGGCCUCAAAGUAGCUUGGGGACAGCAUCAGAUUUCGGGUGGUGCAGAUGAUUCCCCAGCCACUCUUGGCGGCUCCUAACGGAAUACAGUCAUACCUCGGGUCACAGACACUUCAGGUUGCGUUUUUUCGGAACGGGUUACUUCCGGGUUUCGGCAGUUGCACAUGUACAGAAGUGCUAAAUUGCGCUUUGCACAGAAGCGCCGAAUCGCAACCUGUGUGUGUGCAGACACGCCACUGCGGGUUUUGAACGCUGCGGGUUGCGAACGUGCAUCCUGCAUGGAUCACGUUCACAAGCCGAGCAUCCACUGUAUUAAAAGCACGAUAAAUACAUCAAACAUUUAAAACCUCCCUAAACAGGAAAUAUAUAUAUAUAUAUAUAUAUAUAUAUAUAUAUAUAUAUAUAUAUAUUAUAAACCUAUAUUUAUUUGGGCAGCCCAGGGCCUCCAUACACACUGUCCAGGAUUGCGCCCCGGGGAGGCCACUUUGGGGCUGCCAACACAACGGUUGGGCUUCACCCCUGGAGGUGUACUCCAUUGUCUCUUGAGACAGGCGGAGGCCAACAACAAUUUAUUUGUGUGCCUACUCAAAGUUAGGCCCUGGUCAGACGGGUGAUUGAGUCGCCACAACUAUGACAUGGUGCACUUGAGAGCAUGUGCAGAGUGAAAUGGGGAGGAGAUCGGUGCCUGUUG